GAGUUUGAUCCUGGCUCAGGAUGAACGCUGACAGAAUGCUUAACACAUGCAAGUCGAUGGGGAAGUGGUGCUUGCACCAUGGCAACCAUGGCGGACGGGUGAGUAACGCGUAAGGGACUUACCUGCAGGACUGGGAUAACAGGGGGAAACUCCUGACAAGACCGGAUAAUGUCAUGGAGCUGCAUGGCUUUAUGAUGAAAGGAGACGCCUGCGGAGAGCCUUGCGUCCUAUUAGCUAGUUGGUGAGGUAAGGGCUCACCAAGGCGAAGAUAGGUAGCCGGCCUGAGAGGGUGGACGGCCACAAGGGGACUGAGAUACGGCCCUUACUCCUACGGGAGGCAGCAGUGGGGAAUAUUGGACAAUGGGGGCAACCCUGAUCCAGCAAUUCUGUGUGCACGAAGAAGGUUUUCGGAUUGUAAAGUGCUUUCAGCAGGGAAGAAGGAAGUGACGGUACCUGCAGAAGAAGCGACGGCUAAAUACGUGCCAGCAGCCGCGGUAAUACGUAUGUCGCGAGCGUUAUCCGGAAUUAUUGGGCAUAAAGGGCAUCUAGGCGGCCUGACAAGUCAGGGGUGAAAACCUGCGGCUCAACCGCAGGCCUGCCUUUGAAACUGUGAGGCUGGAGUACCGGAGAGGUGGACGGAACUGCACGAGUAGAGGUGAAAUUCGUAGAUAUGUGCAGGAAUGCCGAUGAUGAAGAUAGUUCACUGGACGGUAACUGACGCUGAAGUGCGAAAGCCGGGGGAGCAAACAGGAUUAGAUACCCUGGUAGUCCCGGCUGUAAACGAUGAUUACUGGGUGUGGGCAGGAAGACUGUCUGUGCCGAAGCGAAUGGGAUAAGUAAUCCGCCUGGGGAGUACGGCCGCAAGGCUGAAACUCAAAGGAAUUGACGGGGACCCGCACAAGCGGUGGAGCAUGUGGUUUAAUUCGACGCAACGCGAGGAACCUUACCAGAUCUUGACAUCCCGCGAAUGCCCGUGAAGACGGGCAGUGCCUUCGGGAACGCGGAGACAGGUGGUGCAUGGCUGUCGACAGCUCGUGUCGUGAGAUGUUGGGUUAAGUCCCGCAACGAGCGCAACCCCUUUCGUAUGUUACCAUCAUUAAGUUGGGGACUCAUGCGAUACUGCCUGCGAUGAGCAGGAGGAAGGUGGGGAUGACGUCAAGUCAUCAUGCCCCUUAUACGCUGGGCUACACACGUGCUACAAUGGGUAGUACAGAGAGUCGCAAAGUCGUAAGGCGGAGCAAACCUGAAAAAAGCAGUCCAAGUUCGGAUUGUGGGCUGAAACUCGCCCACAUGAAGUCGGAGUUACUAGUAAUCGCGAACCAGAAUGUCGCGGUGAAUGCGUUCCCGGGUCUUGUACACACCGCCCGUC
This 1369-nucleotide ribosomal RNA is filed under the name uncultured bacterium. RNAcentral describes it as "bacterial SSU rRNA". It matches the Rfam family "Bacterial small subunit ribosomal RNA". The record is from RNAcentral.